This 95-nucleotide ribosomal RNA is filed under the name uncultured bacterium. RNAcentral's name for it is "partial 16S ribosomal RNA". It matches the Rfam family "Bacterial small subunit ribosomal RNA", at positions 1378 to 1482 of the family's 1533-position model. The record is from RNAcentral.
CCCUUGUACACACCGCCCGUCACACCAUGGGAGUCAAUUGCUCCAGAAGUCACCACACCACAGUGGUGCCCAAGGAGUGAUUGGUAACUGGGGUG